Molecule: ribosomal RNA, 493 nt
Filed under: uncultured bacterium
Lineage: Bacteria
Description: bacterial SSU rRNA
Rfam family: Bacterial small subunit ribosomal RNA
Source: RNAcentral
GACGAACGCUGGCGGCGUGCCUAACACAUGCAAGUCGAACGGGGUACCCGAUACGGAGACUUCGGUCAAAGUAUUGGACUACCUAGUGGCGGACGGGUGAGUAACGCGUGAGUAACCUGCCGAGAAGAGGGGAACAACACAUCGAAAGGUGUGCUAAUACCGCAUGAGACCACAGAGUCGCAUGACUGAGGGGUCAAAGAUUUAUCGGUGAUAGAUGGGCUCGCGUCUGAUUAGCUAGUUGGUGAGGUAACGGCCCACCAAGGCAACGAUCAGUAGCCGACCUGAGAGGGUGAUCGGCCACAUUGGAACUGAGAAACGGUCCAAACUCCUACGGGAGGCAGCAGUGGGGAAUAUUGGGCAAUGGGGGGAACCCUGACCCAGCAACGCCGCGUGAAGGAAGAAGGUCUUCGGAUCGUAAACUUCUAUCCUUGGUGAAGAUAAUGACGGUAGCCGAGAAGGAAGCCCCGGCUAACUACGUGCCAGCAGCCGCGGU